RNAcentral lists this long non-coding RNA (1180 nucleotides) under Felis catus (domestic cat). Its description in RNAcentral is "lncRNA (ENSFCAG00000053420.1)". Lineage: Eukaryota; Metazoa; Chordata; Mammalia; Carnivora; Felidae. The record is from RNAcentral.
ACGGCACAGAGUUUUACCCGCAUGGACCUGUGCCGGGCAGGACACGGGAGCUGGCGUCCGCCUCGUCGAGGCGAGUGUCACAGGGAAGCCUGUUCUGGAUCCCUCACCUGAGGUCCAAGGCACUGAGCUACGCCCGGCUGGGGGCACAGGGCUGGGCCGAACUUUUCAGAAAGAGGGGAUGGCUCAGCAUGGGAGAGACUGACAGCAAUCAGCACCUCUUGGAAGACUUGGCCCAGAACCUCGCAGGAAACGGGCAAAGGCCUUUCAGAUCGAUCUGGAACCGACACAAGCACACUGAAUCACCACGAAGGUGGGUGGUGAGACAGACCCCCUUAGAAAGGGAGACUGAGGCACAUGAAGAAUGACCUCCUGUGUCUUGGAAAAACAUGGUGAGGCGGUCGAAACCACUUUUCUGCUUUGUCGCAAACAUAGACCAAAGUGGUGACGGAGCCCUGAAGACCAAAGAGCGUGGAGAGGCUGCUAUGACCUCACAGCCCAGGUAAGUCUUAAAAAGCCAUGGUACCCAAUGGAAUACUACGUGCCAAUGAGAAAGAAUGAAAUCUGGCCCUUUGCAGCAACGUGGUUGGAACUGAAGAGUGUUGUACUAAGUGAAAUAAGCCAUACAGAGAAAGACAGAUACCAUAUGUUUUCACUGUUAUGUGGAUCCUGAGACACUUAACAGAAGACCAUGGGGGAGGGGAAGGGGAAAAAAAAGUUAUAAAGAGGGAAGGAGGCAAACCAUGAGAGACUCUUAAAAACUGAGAACAAACUGAGGGUUGGUGGGGGGUGGGAGGGAGGGGAGGGUGGGGGAGGGGCAUUGAGGAGGGCACCUGUUGGGAUGAGCACUGGGGUUGUAUGGAAACCAAUCUGACAACAAAUUUCAUGUUAAAAAAAAAAAAAAAGCCAUGGUAACCUGACAAAAUGCGGUGUGCUUGCCUAGCCUGGGUCCUGGGGACUGAAAGUCCAUUUUUAUAGAAAACGUGGUUUAUUCCAAGUAAGAUCCUCAGUUUAGUUAAUAGUCAUGUGCCAAGGUCAAUUCCUUAGUUCUGACAACUACACUGUGAUCAUGGAAGAUCCGUAAAGGGCAUGCUACGGGAACGCUAAUAUUUUUGGAACUUGCUUGUUAAAGCUAAAAUUUACCCAAAAUAAAUUUAAUAUUAAAAAAAAUGUAGGCCUUGGA